AGUCUUAUAGCUCAGUGGUUAGAGCGUACGCUUGAUAAGCGUAAUGUCAGUAGUUCAACUCUACUUAGGACUA
Molecule: transfer RNA, 73 nt
Filed under: Synura synuroidea
Lineage: Eukaryota; Synurophyceae; Synurales; Mallomonadaceae
Description: tRNA-Ile
Rfam family: tRNA
About the family: Transfer RNA (tRNA) molecules are approximately 80 nucleotides in length. Their secondary structure includes four short double-helical elements and three loops (D, anti-codon, and T loops). Further hydrogen bonds mediate the characteristic L-shaped molecular structure. tRNAs have two regions of fundamental functional importance: the anti-codon, which is responsible for specific mRNA codon recognition, and the 3' end, to which the tRNAs corresponding amino acid is attached (by aminoacyl-tRNA synthetases). tRNAs cope with the degeneracy of the genetic code in two manners: having more than one tRNA (with a specific anti-codon) for a particular amino acid; and 'wobble' base-pairing, i.e. permitting non-standard base-pairing at the 3rd anti-codon position.
Source: RNAcentral